AAUACCGCAUACGUCCUACGGGAGAAAGCAGGGGACCUUCGGGCCUUGCGCUAUCAGAUGAGCCUAGGUGGGAUUAGCUAGUUGGUGAGGUAAUGGCUCACCAAGGCGACGAUCCGUAACUGGUCUGAGAGGAUGAUCAGUCACACUGGAAGUGAGACACGGUCCAGACUCCUACGGGAGGCAGCAGUGGGGAAUAUUGGACAAUGGACGAAAGCCUGAUCCAAACGUGCCGCGUGUGUGAAGAAGGUCUUCGGA
RNAcentral lists this ribosomal RNA (255 nucleotides) under uncultured bacterium. Its description in RNAcentral is "partial 16S ribosomal RNA". It matches the Rfam family "Bacterial small subunit ribosomal RNA", at positions 165 to 422 of the family's 1533-position model. The record is from RNAcentral.